GUAUCAACACCACCUUUGGAACAAGCAUAGGCGACUCCACCGGGUAACAAACCUCGGUGGAGACCGGCGAUGGAGGAGACGUUUAUUACUGAGCCGCCGCCUUUUGCGUCACGCAUUAGACUGCAGACGUAUUUGGAUACUAACCAAGGUCCGGUUAAGUUGGUUCUGAACACUGUGUUCCACUCAUCUUCAGUCAGAUCUAAACUCGUCUUGACAUUGCCUCUGAUUCCAGCGUUGUUGAUCAACACAUCUAUCUUUCCGUAGAUGUCCCAAGCUUGUUUGACCGCUUUUUGAAUGGUAGCUGCGUCUGAUGAAACGUCUAGCUCGAGCGGUGCGGCUAAUUGGAUCCCGGUUGAGCUUAAGCUGUUGAUUUCGGAGCAGAGAGAUUCGAGACGGUGGACGCGACGAGCUGCUGCGAUAAUCUUACAGCCAGCUUUGCCCAGAUCGAGACAGACCUCACUUCCUAUACCAGAAGAAGCUCCGGUCAGAAAAACCACUUUGAAGAUGUAAGAUGUCUGCCCUGAAGUAGUCGUUGACGUAGUUGCGGAAGCAGACGUCGGGUUAAGUGGUGAAGACCAUGUGGAGUCAAGAUGCUGAGCUGGAGUCGUGUAGACUUGGAGAGCAAGGGAGUAUCUUGGAGAUAUGGAAAGAGGAAUAAACUUGAUGAGCAAGUUUAUGACUUAAAGAAAGAGGAAUAAGUGAAUUCCAAGAAAAGGAAAGUUGCACUUAUUGUUAUGGAAGAUGUCCAUACAUGUUGCCUUGGCGACUAGGGUUUUGGGAACAUGGAGAAUAACUAUAAGAUAGCUAUGGGGUCGUCUGUAUAGAGAUAGAGACACAGAGGCUGAUCUUAUAGAAAGAGAGAGAAGCUCUUGGAAGUGUUUGGUAGAAAUGGUUCUGGAAAAAGCAGCAUUAUUCCUUUAAUGGAACGGUUUUAUGAUCCGACAUUAGGUACUAUGACUUGUGAUUUAAGAUGCACCACUCACCUUUGCAUGGAGACAAUCAUGAGCUGACGACAUUUUGUGGUUUUCACUUAUGCAGGAGAAGUUCUUCUUGAUGGAGAAAAUAUUAAAAAUCUAAAACUGGAGUGGCUGAGAAGCCAAAUAGGCCUGGUUACACAGGAGCCUGCUCUGCUAAGCUUGAGCAUAAGAGAGAAUAUUGCAUAUGGUCGUGAUGCUACUCUUGAUAAGAUAGAGGAGGCAGCUAAAAUUGCGCAUGCACACACGUUUAUCAGCUCACUUGAAAAAGGAUAUGAAACUCAGGUAGAAAUUUUUUUCUUUUUUUAAAGUUUGUGAUGAAAUCCUGUUUUGUCAGUUGGUAACUUGGUAUUCAACUUUAAAGUGGGAAAUGCCUGGUUUGACUUCUAGGUAGGGAGAGCCGGUUUAGCAAUGACAGAGGAGCAGAAAAUAAAACUUUCAAUCGCUAGAGCUGUGCUUUUAAAUCCUACAAUUCUUCUGCUUGAUGAAGUAACUGGGGGACUAGAUUUCGAAGCUGAAAGAAUUGUUCAGGAAGCUCUUGAUCUUCUGAUGUUGGGGCGCUCAACCAUAAUAAUUGCCCGACAGCUAAGCUUGAUUAAAAAUGCUGACUAUAUUGCCGUGAUGGAGGAGGGUCAGCUAGUUGAAAUGGGUACACACGAUGAAUUGAUAAAUCUUGGUGGGUUGUAUGCUGAGCUUCUGAAGUGUGAAGAAGCAACAAAGCUACCGCGAAGGUAUGAUAGCUUAGAACAUAACCAGUUACUCGUGUGUUGAAAUUUCUAGUGGCAAAAUAUAUGUUUGGGAAUCUGUUUUCUGCUGUUAUGAUCUCUAGGGGGUGUAUUUUUGUUAAUUAUAUUUGUUUAAGGAACUUGUAUGUUCAUCCAGGAUGCCAGUUAGGAACUACAAGGAGUCUUCAGUAUUUCAGAUUGAGAGGGACUCUUCAGCUGGCUGUGGCGUCCAAGAGCCAUCAUCACCCAAAAUGAUCAAGUCUCCAUCUCUUCAAAGAGGUAAUGGCGUGUUCCGUCCCCAGGAUCUGUGUUUUUACACUGAAGAAUCACCUAAUGAUCAUAACCCUGCUGCACCUGAGAAAAUGGGGGAACAUGGCUUGCCUCUGGACGAUACUGAUAAAGAGCCAACAAUGAAAAGGCAAGAUAGUUUCGAGAUGAGGUUACCAGAGCUUCCUAAAAUCGACGUCCACGGUCCACAGCAUAAAUCAAACGACUCAGAUCCAGAGUCCCCUGUUUCACCCCUUUUGACUUCAGAUCCCAAAAACGAGCGUUCCCAUUCUCAGACGUUUAGCCGUCCUCUUAGUUCGUCUGAUGACACUAAAGCAAAUGGUAAGGAUGCUCAACACAAGGAGUCACCUUCGUUUUGGAGGUUGGCACAGCUUAGUUUCCCAGAGUGGCUCUAUGCUCUAUUAGGGAGUGUGGGUGCUGCCGUAUUUGGUUCCUUCAAUCCUCUUCUGGCUUAUGUCAUGGCGUUGGUAGUCACGGAAUAUUAUAAGAGCAAAGGAGGCCACCUGCGCGAGCAGGUUGACAAAUGGUGUUUGAUCCUUGCCGCCAUGGGGAUAGUGACAGUUUUUGCCAAUUUCUUGCAGCAUUUCUACUUUGGUAUAAUGGGGGAGAAAACGACUGAGAGAGUUCGGAGGAUGAUGUUCUCAGGUACUGGAUUUUUUUGAUCAUUAUAAUUAACUUCACCACAUUUUAACUACUUUCACUUGCCUCGCAUCAUUAAUUUCCCUGAUGUUACAGCAAUGCUGCGUAACGAAGUUGGAUGGUUCGAUCAUGAAGACAACAGUCCUGAUACGUUAUCCAUGCGUUUAGCAAAUGAUGCUACUUUUGUCCGAGCUGCCUUCAGCAACAGGCUUUCGAUAUUUAUUCAAGAUAGUUUUGCUGUUAUUGUUGCUCUUCUUAUUGGGUUGCUGCUUGGUUGGCGUUUGGCCCUUGUUGCAUUAGCAACUCUGCCAAUACUCUCUCUUUCUGCCAUUGCUCAGGUUUGCAUCGUUUCUUCUAGGAGAUUGCUUGACAUUUAAAUUCUUAUUUUAUAAUUUAGUAAACGUGCGGUCAUAAUCCCCUCUUUCACAUGUGUUUCUGAUUUUGUAAUAUUUUUUUCCAGUUCAAGUAGCGGUUUAGCAUGUGAUUCGUUGCUUUUUGCCAUUUCAUUCUCAUGCACAUAGCUCAGACAUGUUUGUUUAUUCAGCUGACAUUGCAUAUUAAUUACCUUAAAACGAAUUUGCAGAAACUGUGGCUUUCUGGAUUCUCAAAAGGCAUCCAGGAGAUGCAUAGAAAGGCAUCAUUAGUUCUCGAGGAUGCUGUACGAAAUAUCUACACUGUUGUUGCCUUCUGUGCUGGUAACAAGGUGAUGGAACUCUACAGGAUGCAACUCCAGAGGAUACUCAGACAAAGCUUUUUACACGGGAUGGCUAUCGGUUUUGCGUUUGGUUUCUCACAGUUCCUUCUCUUCGCCUGCAACGCCCUCCUCCUAUGGUGCACUGCGCUAUCUGUUAAACGCGGGUACAUGAAGUUACCCACAGCUAUAACGGAAUACAUGGUCUUCUCUUUCGCUACAUUUGCCCUUGUGGAGCCAUUUGGAUUAGCACCUUACAUCCUCAAGCGACGCAAGUCUCUCAUAUCAGUAUUUGAAAUCAUAGAUCGAGUCCCGACGAUUGAACCAGAUGACAACUCUGCUCUCAAGCCGCCUAAUGUCUACGGAAGCAUUGAACUGAAAAACAUCGACUUCUGCUACCCGUCUCGACCCGAAGUGUUGGUGUUGAGCAACUUCAGUCUCAAAGUCAGUGGGGGGCAAACUUUAGCUGUGGUUGGCGUCUCAGGUUCUGGUAAAAGCACAAUAAUCUCACUCGUGGAGAGAUACUACGACCCAGUUGCUGGUCAAGUCCUACUAGACGGGCGCGACUUAAAGCUAUAUAACUUGAGAUGGUUGAGAAGUCACAUGGGUCUGGUCCAGCAAGAGCCCAUAAUCUUUUCCACAACCAUCAGAGACAACAUCAUAUACGCAAGGCAUAAUGCGAGCGAAGCUGAGAUGAAGGAAGCAGCGAGGAUAGCAAAUAGGGCUUACCUCACGGUUACGACACACAUGUGGGGAUGAGAGGUGUGGAACUUACCCCAGGACAGAAUGCAACCACACUUCGGCAAAGGUCUACGCCAACAUCGACUAAUAUAGCAAAUAGGGCUUGUAGGUGUAGAUUUUCCACGGUGAUGAAGCUUCUUUCUCCAAGGUAUAUCGAUUGUGUAUGCUAGAUUGUUUUUGGAAGACAAUGUAUGUAAAGAAAAUGUGUAAAUGUAUUCACUUAUUAGUAUUACACACCAACACACAAGUUUCUUCUCAAAGAGAAGAAAAAAUAGGCAAGCCAGGUAUUGUAGCUCCGGAGUCGAGAAUGUAUGUGUUCCCUGAGACAUAACGGGAAGAGUCAUGAAUGAGAUAGCGAACCAGCGAGGUAAGUCCCGGAUCCACGGUCUGUUGCACCUUUAACGGGAUAGUCCUCUCGGUCACGUUCUUAAGCCACUCUUUUUGCAUAAGACCUUGCGUGAUCUCUGACUUGAGAAGCCCUGGUGCGAUCGAGUUCACUCUGAUGUUGUAUACACCUAACUCAAUAGCCAUCAUCCUCGUCAUGGUAUCAACACCACCUUUGGAACAAGCAUAGACGACUCCACCGGGUAACAAACCUCAGUGGAGACCGGCGAUGGAGGAGACGUUUAUUACUGAGCCGCCGCCUUUUGCGUCACGCAUUAGACUGCAGACGUAUUUGGAUACUAACCAAGGUCCGGUUAAGUUGGUUCUGAACACUGUGUUCCACUCAUCUUCAGUCAGAUCUAAACUCGUCUUGACAUUGCCUCUGAUUCCAGCGUUGUUGAUCAACACAUCUAUCUUUCCGUAGAUGUCCCAAGCUUGUUUGACAGCUUUUUGAAUGG
This 4900-nucleotide long non-coding RNA is filed under the name Brassica napus (rape). RNAcentral's name for it is "long non-coding RNA (BNAP_LNC025807)". Lineage: Eukaryota; Viridiplantae; Streptophyta; Magnoliopsida; Brassicales; Brassicaceae. The record is from RNAcentral.